This is an unclassified non-coding RNA of Cercocebus atys (sooty mangabey), 98 nucleotides long. It matches the Rfam family "Y RNA". From Rfam's summary of the family: Y RNAs are components of the Ro ribonucleoprotein particle (Ro RNP), in association with Ro60 and La proteins. The Y RNAs and Ro60 and La proteins are well conserved, but the function of the Ro RNP is not known. Lineage: Eukaryota; Metazoa; Chordata; Mammalia; Primates; Cercopithecidae. The record is from Ensembl.
GGCUAGUCCGAAUUCAGUGGUGUUUACAACAAAUUGCUCACAAUUACACAUUUCCUUGUUUAUUUUACACUCCCGCUGCUUCACUUGACUAGCCUCAA